RNAcentral lists this transfer RNA (69 nucleotides) under Laeops kitaharae. Its description in RNAcentral is "tRNA-Val". It matches the Rfam family "tRNA". Rfam says of the family: Transfer RNA (tRNA) molecules are approximately 80 nucleotides in length. Their secondary structure includes four short double-helical elements and three loops (D, anti-codon, and T loops). The record is from RNAcentral. RNAcentral also lists the same sequence under 1 other name. Lineage: Eukaryota; Metazoa; Chordata; Actinopteri; Pleuronectiformes; Bothidae.
CAACCCGUAGCUAAAAGAUAGCACCUCCCUUACACUGAGGCGUCGCCCGUGCAACUCGGGCCAGGUUGA